AUGGAGAAAAGCCGCGCUUCGACGCUUAAUUCCUUGACUCGAUUUUUUUUAUAAUUAAUGUAAGGGCAUACAAAUUCGCACAAUGUUAGAAUUUCCUUAACAUUUAAACCCCCCCAAAUAAGUGCUAGAUCGGCCAGAGUCACCAAAUAUGCACAGAAUGACGCACUGAGAGAAAAGUUGGAAAUGGAAUAAAAAAAUAAAAUAUUAAGUAAGAUAAAAUUAUUUUAGGAACAGAAAAUAUAGGCGUAGGUAGAACCGAACGAAAGAAAGAAAAAUAUAAUCAUGUACGGGUUCGGUUUUAGGAAUUAUUAGUUAAAAAAAAUAGGUGGUUGACUAAAACAUGUGAAUGCUCUGUAUUUACUUAACCCUUUGCGAACCACAGUCGCUAUUCUUUUACAGUCACCGCUCGGGAGAUCGAUCUUUCGUCGUGGAGAAUACACCAAGUGAGUUAAUACAAAAUUGUAUAUUUUUGGCUAAUUUAUACUCGGCAUUCGAAUCCAAUGUUUAAUAAAAAAAUGGUCAAACAAAAGUAAAAGAGAACAUGCACACCCUUAAAAGCUGAUUAAAUUGGAGAUUUAUAUGAACAACAGUAGUCCUAAAGCCGAACGCAUCUCCUUUGUAGAAGUACUGUAAAAAUAUAAAUAAAUAAAUAAUAAUAAUUUUAAUAAUAAUAGAGAAGAAAAAAAAAUAAAAUAAAAUUAAGCUGUGAAUACACUGAGGAAAAAAACAGGAACAACAGUUAGAACCAAACAAUAGAAGAUAUUUCCUUUGUAGAGUAGAAACUUAUCUAUGGAAUCAACAAUGAAAUUUCUCUACAUUUUAUAUAUAUUAAGACCCCUUAUUAAAACUUAAGAUUACCUCAUACUAUCCGCACCCAAUAAUUAUAUCUGUUUAUGGAGAACGAACUAUUGGUAUUUUUUUUAGGGUAAUUAGAUAUCGAUAGUAUACAUAGCCCCUUCUUAUUCCCUUCGGCUAUUGACAUUUGCAAUUGUAUUCCACUUAUGUCUUUUCCCAAUGGGGAAAAGGGAGUAACCCGCCCUGGCAACAUAGGCCUGAAAUUUAAUUUGGAUUAUUAAAAUGAAUUUAAACGAAACCAUGGAGUAAUUAUUUAAUUAAUUUCUUGAUUAAAAAUAAUAGACAAGUAGCAGAUCUGGAUUAGGAAGACCUCCACCCCCCAAAGCCGACAAGCUAGAGCCGGAUACUAUAGCGUGCCCCGCGAGGACAGAUCUGUGUAAAAUACUGUGCUACAUAAGGUUGCACGUUACAAUAUGAUCAUAUCCACGGUUUUACACCACGCUGCGGCAUCGGCCCAGGCACAUCAGGAUUAAACAAAGGCAAUGUCACCGAAAUAUUUUGCGAGGCUGCAGCCGAUGUUGUUCGCACAUUAUUCAGCAACCUAAGGAAGUUUGGGUUUUGUGUCUCUAAAAUCGCCUGCAACGCCAGAAUGUUCUUGUGGCGAUGGGGAUCCCACUUCUGAUGUCGGAGAUAGGGGUCUCUUCGCCGCUUCGCGAGUUGAUUCAUCCGUCAUGAUUUUCCUUUCACUUGGGUUUUCUUACUAAGAUCCGCAGCGAGUCGCAAUUGCUUUUGUUGCCCGUUCGAAGGUUUUCGAAAGAAUGAAAUCUAAACACUUUUCUUCUCUGGACAACUCUAUCGUGUCCUUGUCAUUCUGUAGUCACUUGUCAUUCUUUUAACUCAUUCUCUACUCCCCUUAAUUUCACUCUCCUUGUUACAACAACAAUUGCGCCACACUCGGCUAAGGUGAGUUCCAAACUAGCCACGCUUUUAAACCCUUAAGUGGUAUUAGAAGGUCACACUUCUUUAUCUUUACUCUUUAUUUGUGUUGACAGGUUUCUCUCCGUUACAUUGGUUUUAUUUUACAUUAAAUAUUAAUAUUAUUAAUUCUCUCGACAUAUUUAUAUUUAUGUGCAUUAGGGUGGGUCGCUUUGUGUGGGCUCAAAAAAGUGGUAAAUCGUGGAGGGGAACGUAAACCUAGCAAUGUUACCAAAGAAACAAUGUCUCAAAACAAUGACCCUCCGCACUUGCAAUAGAUAUCAGAUACCCGAUAUUCAGCUAAGUGUGCUGGGAGCACUCAGGUAGUGUGAAGGAGACAGAGGUAUAAAAGUAGCAAAGCGUCUGUUUCGAACAUUGCACACUUUAUUUGAUUAUAACGGUUUAAUGAAUGGCCCGAAUUGAACCUAUUUUGGACACAGUUGGACAUUGAUAAUCAAAACAAAAUAUCAUUUAAAUCAUUAAAAAAAAAAA
Drosophila suzukii is the source of this 2262-nucleotide non-coding RNA. NCBI's taxonomy places the organism in Eukaryota, Metazoa, Arthropoda, Insecta, Diptera, Drosophilidae. The record is from RefSeq and is a predicted model, not a curated record.